This 637-nucleotide ribosomal RNA is filed under the name Bacillus sp. (in: firmicutes). Its description in RNAcentral is "bacterial SSU rRNA". It matches the Rfam family "Bacterial small subunit ribosomal RNA", at positions 42 to 662 of the family's 1533-position model. The record is from RNAcentral. Lineage: Bacteria; Bacillati; Bacillota; Bacilli; Caryophanales; Bacillaceae.
GCGUGCCUAUACAUGCAAGUCGAGCGGACAGAUGGGAGCUUGCUCCCUGAUGUUAGCGGCGGACGGGUGAGUAACACGUGGGUAACCUGCCUGUAAGACUGGGAUAACUCCGGGAAACCGGGGCUAAUACCGGAUGCUUGUUUGAACCGCAUGGUUCAAACAUAAAAGGUGGCUUCGGCUACCACUUACAGAUGGACCCGCGGCGCAUUAGCUAGUUGGUGAGGUAACGGCUCACCAAGGCAACGAUGCGUAGCCGACCUGAGAGGGUGAUCGGCCACACUGGGACUGAGACACGGCCCAGACUCCUACGGGAGGCAGCAGUAGGGAAUCUUCCGCAAUGGACGAAAGUCUGACGGAGCAACGCCGCGUGAGUGAUGAAGGUUUUCGGAUCGUAAAGCUCUGUUGUUAGGGAAGAACAAGUACCGUUCGAAUAGGGCGGUACCUUGACGGUACCUAACCAGAAAGCCACGGCUAACUACGUGCCAGCAGCCGCGGUAAUACGUAGGUGGCAAGCGUUGUCCGGAAUUAUUGGGCGUAAAGGGCUCGCAGGCGGUUUCUUAAGUCUGAUGUGAAAGCCCCCGGCUCAACCGGGGAGGGUCAUUGGAAACUGGGGAACUUGAGUGCAGAAGAGGAGAGU